Molecule: ribosomal RNA, 254 nt
Filed under: uncultured bacterium
Lineage: Bacteria
Description: partial 16S ribosomal RNA
Rfam family: Bacterial small subunit ribosomal RNA
Source: RNAcentral
UACGUAGGGUGCAAGCGUUAAUCGGAAUUACUGGGCGUAAAGCGUGCGUAGGCGGUCCGCGAAGUCUGAUGUGAAAGCCCCGGGCUCAACCUGGGAACUGCAUUGGAAACUAACGGGCUCGAGUGUGGCAGAGGGGGGUGGGAAUUCCACGUGUAGCAGUGAAAUGCGUAGAGAUGUGGAGGAACACCGAUGGCGAAGGCAGCCCCCUGGGCUAACACUGACGCUCAGGCACGAAAGCGUGGGGAGCAAACAGG